CUGACAAAUUCUUUAAAAAUGCCCUGCUUAGAAACACUAGUCACUAGACAUGCAAUUAUUGUUUACCUACGUCUGCGGAUCUGUAGAAUUCAGUAUAGAACACUAUACAUUUAUCGAGUAAUCUGUAGUAUUACAUAUUAAUUGUUUCAGUGUGGGUAUUAAAUUGGGAAAUUCGAAAUAUAUAAUAUACAAUAGCUUCGGGUUUCAGGAACUUUACGAUACUUCACGUAUUUAUAGGACACAGUCUUUAAAAUAUGCGGAUGGUAUUACGAGAAGUACAGUUUUUACUAGUUUUGAAUGUAUAAAUUUAUGCUAUUUUACUCACAUGUUGCUCGUACUGCGUAACAUUUUCUCUUUGUCCCACAGUCGCCAGAAGUCAACAGCACGUUCCCCUCUUUGUGUACGUACACGAACGACUAGUUUCUAUUUUCUUCCUAUUUUCGUGCUCGAUAAUAAAUCUCUCCUGCAUUUUUCUUUCCCUCUCAGAUCUUUUUUCUUUUUUAAACAUCCCCUGUACAUCUCUCUCGCUCUUUCUUGUUGAAUUAUUUUUCGUCUUUUACGACGAAUUCCUCGAUCGUGUUCGGCCUGGAAAGCCGACCUAGCUUCGAAAGUAUAUGCUCGCUCUGUCUCGCUGGUUGCACUGAGAUUUCUCCCAGAUCGUGACGUAUCCCACCAUUAGCAAGUGCGCCACUCGCUGUGUGGAAUGUCGUGUUAAAAUGCGCCAUUUCAACCGACUUUACGUAAGCUCAUACGACCAGACGAAACAGAGAAAAAGCAUAUUAUUUCUUGAGAUUUGCCGUCCUUGCUAGCUGAUGAUCAAGUGCAAAUUCCCGCGCGCGCGCUUUGUUUACAUAUUGCUGCACAAAUAUUAC
This is a non-coding RNA of Paramuricea clavata, 872 nucleotides long. Lineage: Eukaryota; Metazoa; Cnidaria; Anthozoa; Malacalcyonacea; Plexauridae. The record is from the annotation of a GenBank genome assembly.